GGAGGCUUAUUUGCGAACGUUCAGGAAGAGCGCCUGCCAGCCCAGAGAGGGGCUGGUCAACGUCCACAAAGAGCACCCCCAGGGCACAGCCCUCCUGUGUGGUUCUGCAACGAUGCGCCGGCUGCUGCAGUGACGAGGCCGUGCAGUGUUCCGCUGUGCAGAAGCGCACCAUCAGUCUGCAGAUCAUGCGGGUGAGCUCCAGCACACAGACCUCGCAGCUG
Non-coding RNA from Notechis scutatus (mainland tiger snake), 221 nucleotides. The record is from RefSeq and is a predicted model, not a curated record. NCBI's taxonomy places the organism in Eukaryota, Metazoa, Chordata, Lepidosauria, Squamata, Elapidae.